This 700-nucleotide ribosomal RNA is filed under the name uncultured bacterium. Its description in RNAcentral is "bacterial SSU rRNA". It matches the Rfam family "Bacterial small subunit ribosomal RNA", at positions 8 to 689 of the family's 1533-position model. The record is from RNAcentral.
AGAGUUUGAUCCUGGCUCAGGACGAACGCUGGCGGCAUGCCUAAUACAUGCAAGUCGAACGCUUCUACUCGGUGCUUGCAUCGAACUAGAAGAGUGGCGGAUGGGUGAGUAACACGUGGGAAACCUACCUGUAAGUAUGGGAUAACAUUCGGAAACGGAUGCUAAUACCAUAUAAAUUUUUGUUCCGCAUGGAACUUAAAGAAAAGACGGCUCUGCUGUCGCUUACAGAUGGUCCCGCGCCGCAUUAGCUAGUUGGUGGGAUAAAAGCCUACCAAGGCCAUGAUGCGUAGCCGACCUGAGAGGGUAACCGGCCACACUGGGACUGAGACACGGCCCAGACUCCUACGGGAGGCAGCAGUAGGGAAUCUUCCGCAAUGGACGAAAGUCUGACGGAGCAAUGCCGCGUGAGUGAAGAAGGUCUUCGGUUCGUAAAACUCUGUUGUUAGAGAAGAACAGGGAUAGGAGUAACUAUCUAUCCUUUGACGGUAUCUAACCAGAAAGCCACGGCUAACUACGUGCCAGCAGCCGCGGUAAUACGUAGGUGGCAAGCGUUGUCCGGAUUUAUUGGGCGUAAAGGGAGCGCAGGCGGUUUCUUAAGUCUGAUGUGAAAGCCCACGGCUCAACCGUGGAAGGUCAUUGGAAACUGAGGAACUUGAGUACAGAAGAGGAAAGUGGAAUUCCAUGUGUAGCGGUGAAAUGC